CAGUAGCCGCGGUAAUACGAAGGGGGCUAGCGUUGCUCGGAAUCACUGGGCGUAAAGGGUGCGUAGGCGGGUCUUUAAGUCAGGGGUGAAAUCCUGGAGCUCAACUCCAGAACUGCCUUUGAUACUGAAGAUCUUGAGUUCGGGAGAGGUGAGUGGAACUGCGAGUGUAGAGGUGAAAUUCGUAGAUAUUCGCAAGAACACCAGUGGCGAAGGCGGCUCGCUGGCCCGAUACUGACGCUGAGGCACGAAAGCGUGGGGAGCAAACAGGAUUAGAUACCCCGGUAGUCCCUGUCUCUUAUAC
Molecule: ribosomal RNA, 301 nt
Filed under: uncultured bacterium
Lineage: Bacteria
Description: partial 16S ribosomal RNA
Rfam family: Bacterial small subunit ribosomal RNA
Source: RNAcentral